Molecule: long non-coding RNA, 258 nt
Filed under: Homo sapiens (human)
Lineage: Eukaryota; Metazoa; Chordata; Mammalia; Primates; Hominidae
Description: non-protein coding lnc-GNAZ-2:1
Source: RNAcentral
GAUAGGUAUAUCUCUUUUGGCCUUCAAUAUUGGCAGUAGCCAUAUUAUGGACCUGGCUGGGAUAGACGCAUCUUCAGGAAUUGCUAUUGGUUUCAGGCUGUACUUCUGCUCUAUGGCAUUGGUUGGAUAUUUGUUUCUGUUUAUAAUAAGGCUCAGUGGUGACAGUGCCAGAAUAUUUCAAGAAUAGGUUUGGUAGCUAUCAGAGUGAGAUCCUUCUCUCCAUUCUGUAUUUAUUCCUCUGUAUCUUCAAUAAGAUAC